UACGUAGGGGGCUAGCGUUGUUCGGAAUUACUGGGCGUAAAGCGCACGCAGGCGGAUUGGUAAGUCGGGGGUGAAAUCCCGGGGCUCAACCUCGGAAUUGCCUUCGAUACUGUUUAUCUUGAGUCCGGGAGAGGUGAGUGGAAUUCCUAGUGUAGAGGUGAAAUUCGUAGAUAUUAGGAAGAACACCAGUGGCGAAGGCGGCUCACUGGCCCGGUACUGACGCUCAUGUGCGAAAGCGUGGGGAGCAAACAGG
Molecule: ribosomal RNA, 253 nt
Filed under: uncultured bacterium
Lineage: Bacteria
Description: partial 16S ribosomal RNA
Rfam family: Bacterial small subunit ribosomal RNA
Source: RNAcentral